Molecule: long non-coding RNA, 586 nt
Filed under: Physcomitrium patens
Lineage: Eukaryota; Viridiplantae; Streptophyta; Bryopsida; Funariales; Funariaceae
Description: long non-coding RNA (PPAT_LNC006085)
Source: RNAcentral
GGCUGUGGAAGGAAGAAUGGAAAUUGCAAUAAUAAAAUCCUAAUUCUAAUAAAAUACUAACAAUGCUCUAAUUAGACCAUAAUAAUGCUAAGCAAGCAUAAUCAAAUUCAAAAAAACCUCAAAGAAAUUUCAAACAAACAAUAAAAAUUCUUAAAGAAAUAUUAGAAGGAUCACAAAUAUCACUCAAAUAUAUCUCAAUUCAAUCUUAAUUUAAUUCUAGUUAAAAUCCUAUUGAACUUCAUUAAAACUUUAGGCCAAAACUAAUUGAAUCUUAAAUCCUAAUAAAAUCCUAAAUCCUAAAUAAAAUCUCAACUAAAUCCUAAACCAAAUCCUAACCAAAUCCUAAAUCCUAAAUAAACCCAAACCAAAUCCUAAUCCAAACCCUAAACCCUAGACCAAAUCCUAAUCAAAUCCUAAAUCCUAAAUCAAACCCUAAUCCAAAUCCUAAUCCCUAAACCAAAUCCUAACCAAACCCUAAUCCUAAACCAAAUCCUAAUCCAAAACCUAAAUCCUAAACCUUAAAUCAAACCCUAAUCUAAACCCUAAUCAAACCUUAAACCAAAUCCUAAACCAAAUCCUAACCAAA